This 1071-nucleotide ribosomal RNA is filed under the name Salmonella enterica subsp. enterica serovar Bonn. RNAcentral describes it as "partial 23S ribosomal RNA". It matches the Rfam family "Bacterial large subunit ribosomal RNA", at positions 710 to 1772 of the family's 2925-position model. Lineage: Bacteria; Pseudomonadati; Pseudomonadota; Gammaproteobacteria; Enterobacterales; Enterobacteriaceae. The record is from RNAcentral.
UAGACCCGAAACCCGGUGAUCUAGCCAUGGGCAGGUUGAAGGUUGGGUAACACUAACUGGAGGACCGAACCGACUAAUGUUGAAAAAUUAGCGGAUGACCUGUGGCUGGGGGUGAAAGGCCAAUCAAACCGGGAGAUAGCUGGUUCUCCCCGAAAGCUAUUUAGGUAGCGCCUCGUGAAUUCAUCUCCGGGGGUAGAGCACUGUUUCGGCUAGGGGGCCAUCCCGGCUUACCAACCCGAUGCAAACUGCGAAUACCGGAGAAUGUUAUCACGGGAGACACACGGCGGGUGCUAACGUCCGUCGUGAAGAGGGAAACAACCCAGACCGCCAGCUAAGGUCCCAAAGUCAUGGUUAAGUGGGAAACGAUGUGGGAAGGCCCAGACAGCCAGGAUGUUGGCUUAGAAGCAGCCAUCAUUUAAAGAAAGCGUAAUAGCUCACUGGUCGAGUCGGCCUGCGCGGAAGAUGUAACGGGGCUAAACCAUGCACCGAAGCUGCGGCAGCGACGCUGAUGCGUUGUUGGGUAGGGGAGCGUUCUGUAAGCCUGCGAAGGUGGCCUGUGAGGGUUGCUGGAGGUAUCAGAAGUGCGAAUGCUGACAUAAGUAACGAUAAAGCGGGUGAAAAGCCCGCUCGCCGGAAGACCAAGGGUUCCUGUCCAACGUUAAUCGGGGCAGGGUGAGUCGACCCCUAAGGCGAGGCCGAAAGGCGUAGUCGAUGGGAAACGGGUUAAUAUUCCCGUACUUGGUGUUACUGCGAAGGGGGGACGGAGAAGGCUAUGUUGGCCGGGCGACGGUUGUCCCGGUUUAAGCGUGUAGGUGUGUGUUCCAGGUAAAUCCGGUUCACUUUAACACUGAGGCGUGAUGACGAGGCACUACGGUGCUGAAGCAACAAAUGCCCUGCUUCCAGGAAAAGCCUCUAAGCAUCAGGUAACAUCAAAUCGUACCCCAAACCGACACAGGUGGUCAGGUAGAGAAUACCAAGGCGCUUGAGAGAACUCGGGUGAAGGAACUAGGCAAAAUGGUGCCGUAACUUCGGGAGAAGGCACGCUGACACGUAGGUGAAGUGAUUUACUCA